Molecule: ribosomal RNA, 495 nt
Filed under: uncultured bacterium
Lineage: Bacteria
Description: partial 16S ribosomal RNA
Rfam family: Bacterial small subunit ribosomal RNA
Source: RNAcentral
GACGAACGCUGGCGGCGUGCCUAAUACAUGCAAGUAGAACGCUGAAGGAGGAGCUUGCUUCUCUGGAUGAGUUGCGAACGGGUGAGUAACGCGUAGGUAACCUGCCUGGUAGCGGGGGAUAACUAUUGGAAACGAUAGCUAAUACCGCAUAAUAGCAGUUAUUGCAUGAUAACUGUUUGAAAGGUGCAAUUGCACCACUACCAGAUGGACCUGCGUUGUAUUAGCUAGUUGGUGGGGUAACGGCUCACCAAGGCGACGAUACAUAGCCGACCUGAGAGGGUGAUCGGCCACACUGGGACUGAGACACGGCCCAGACUCCUACGGGAGGAAGCAGUAGGGAAUCUUCGGCAAUGGACGGAAGUCUGACCGAGCAACGCCGAGUGAGUGAAGAAGGGUUUCGGAUCGUAAAGCUCUGUUGUAAGAGAAGAACGAGUGUGAGAGUGGAAAGUUCACACUGUGACGGUAUCUUACCAGAAAGGGACGGCUAACUACGUG